ACCCCAAAGCCCUUCUCCCUUCUCUCCAUGCAGAACCUCCCCAAAGGCCUCACCAUCUCAAAACCAGCCAACAACUCAAACCUACCGUCUUCACUCGCUGGCAGCGCCAUUGCUGGAGCUAUCUUCUCAACCUUGAGCUCAUGUGACCCCGCCUUAGCUGCACAACAGAUUGCUGAAAUAGCUGAAGGAGACAACCGUGGGCUAGCUCUAUUGCUUCCCAUAAUCCCAGCGAUCGCUUGGGUCCUCUUCAACAUCCUCCAGCCAGCACUUAACCAGCUGAACCGAAUGAGGAGCUCCAAAGGGGUUAUCAUAGGGCUAGGGCUCGGAGGAUUGGCUGCAUCAGGGUUCAUGUCAACACCGGAAGCAUCGGCCAGUGAGAUAGCUAUGGUAGCUGAUGCUGCAUCUAGUGACAAUAGGGGUACCCUUCUCCUCUUCGUUGUAGCACCAGCUCUUCUUUGGGUGGCCUACAACAUUCUGCAACCGGCUUUGAACCAGCUUAAUAGGAUGAGAUCUCAGUGAGAUUGUGGAUCUUGUAUGGGGUGUAAUGGCAUGUAAAUUACCUGUAAUUGCACCUUAUGUUAAUGAAGCUUUCUCGUUAUUUACUUUAAACAAAAAAUAACAAAUUUUCCUUGGUUAUAGUUCCAUUAAUUUCAUCCCUUAUAAUCUAUAUAUUCGUAUUAUUAUAUUUAUGUCAUUUUUUAAUAUAAUUGUAUUAUCGAAGUUAAUAUAAUUUUAAGCUUUUACAUAAAA
This 750-nucleotide long non-coding RNA is filed under the name Gossypium barbadense (sea-island cotton). Its description in RNAcentral is "long non-coding RNA (GBAR_LNC013684)". The record is from RNAcentral. Lineage: Eukaryota; Viridiplantae; Streptophyta; Magnoliopsida; Malvales; Malvaceae.